GGUUGGUCUGAGUGCAGUGGUGUUCACAAAUAAUUGAUCACAACCAGUUACAGAUUCUUUCGUUUCUUCUCCACUCCCACUGCUUCACUUGACCAGCCUUAA
RNAcentral lists this Y RNA (102 nucleotides) under Propithecus coquereli (Coquerel's sifaka). RNAcentral's name for it is "Y RNA (ENSPCOG00000002124.1)". It matches the Rfam family "Y RNA". From Rfam's summary of the family: Y RNAs are components of the Ro ribonucleoprotein particle (Ro RNP), in association with Ro60 and La proteins. The Y RNAs and Ro60 and La proteins are well conserved, but the function of the Ro RNP is not known. In humans the RNA component can be one of four small RNAs -- hY1, hY3, hY4 and hY5. The record is from Rfam by way of RNAcentral. Lineage: Eukaryota; Metazoa; Chordata; Mammalia; Primates; Indriidae.